Molecule: non-coding RNA, 31 nt
Filed under: Mus musculus (house mouse)
Lineage: Eukaryota; Metazoa; Chordata; Mammalia; Rodentia; Muridae
Source: RNAcentral
UGGAAUAUGUGCCACUUUUCUGUGUUAUGUC